UUACUGGAUGAAAUAAUUAUACUGAUCCUAGCCUUAUUUUAAAAGGGCCCCCAGAAUGCUCUUCUCCAAGACUUAGAAAAAUCAAAUGCUAUCCAUCCCUCAAGAUACAUCCCUCCAGCCCCUCCUUGAAGUCUCCUGCAGCUAGAAGUAGAAGUAGCAUCUAUCCCCAUCUGGACUCCUUAGCACUUUGCUGUACCUGCCUUAGUCCCCAUCUCUUUACACACACACACACACACACACACACACACACAGAGUAUUAUAAUACUAUUACCUAUUAUAUUACAUUAUAUUAUUGUAGUUCUACAGGAACUACAAGGAAUUCUACUGUGAAUUCCUUAAGGGUGGGAUACAUUUUACAAUCAUCACUGUUUCUCUCAUUAGUUGUGGAAUCAAAAAAAUGAGUGCACGAUGAAAAAUUAUUCAAACACAUACAUGCUUUCAUUCCAAUUGAAAAUGUAAAAAUAUUACUGUUAAAACAAUAUUAAAGGACAUGUAAUACAAUUCAAAUAUUCCUACCAUGCACGAUUGUUUUCACUUCUUUGUGCCUCUUUCACCAUUUAUUUGUGUGCAUACUCAGCAUAUUUGUUUGUGUAACAGGAUGUUAAAAAUAGAAUUUGUUGCCUGUAGUUUUUGCUAAAGCUCUACUAGACUGGAACAGAACAAUAGGUGGUAAAUACUCCAUUCCUCAGUGAGAUGCUACCUACCUAUGCAGAGCUGGAAAAGAUUUUGCAACCUGAAAACCCAAUCCUUUCUGAGAUAUAAAAGAACAGAAGAGUCUGGAAGUGAUUUCUUCGGAGAAAUUCAUUUUCUUAUUCCAGAGAAGAAACUUCAAGCUCAGAAUAUUGGCUACUACCUGUGAUAAACAUUUAAAUUAUUGGAACGAGAGAGUUUUUAUAACUAAAUUUGAAAGAAGCAAUUUUUUUUAUCAAAGACCAACCCGAAGAUUCAUGACCACUACCUGUGAUUUCAUCCAUGUUGCAAGGAAAAUCCUGCCCCACUUCCCCAAUAGGAAGAGUGGUGGGGGAAUAAUAAAGUUGUUUUAUGAUGCAUCCUGUGGACUUCUACUCGACAGAAUGGUAACAUUCAACUGUAAUCAGGAUGAGCAAGCCACUUUAUUAAACUAAAAUUUUAAACUUUAAUAAAUAUAAUACAAACUGAAAAAUAAAAAUAAUUUUUCAACUCUACACAAGUAUGUUAACUGCAUAAACAGUGAGAUGUUACACAGGGCUGAGGCCUAUACUUCUUCAGUUUGUACAUUAAACGUCUCCAUGGAGGGUCAAUUGCAUCCUACCUAUUCUGACAGUUAUCAGGUAGCGAGAGAUUUGAGGAAGAGGCGCUUUUCUAAUCUGGGGUAGGAAAAGGAAUGAUACCAUGUAUCAUGAGAAGUAUUUGCACAUAGUGUGUCAAUUAAGCAAGUGCUCAGACUAUUAACAACAUUACUAUGUGAUGAAUGUUUAUACAGUGGAUUCAAAAAUAAGCUUCUUUCCAGAAAGCAGCUUAGUUUUCAUUAAUUAUUACCAGCAUCUUGGUAAUUAUUUAUUUAAUGGUUUAAAAGUUAAAGUUUCAAUCUAUAUUUGUUUUUUUAACAUCAGCCAAGGAAAUACAUGUCUGUUAUACUGCAUCUUUGGAAGUAUGCAAUAAGUGUAACUAUUGAAUCUAUAUUGAAGAGCCACAAGACACUGAAUUUAAUUGGACGAGACUAUUUUAUUUAGGAAGACAAUCAUCUCCUGUGAUCAGCUUAAGGUUUUUGUUUUGUUUUAUCUGGAACAAGCUAAGUUCAUAUUUAGAAAAUAAAGUUAGUUUUUUGGGUGCAUGAGUUUUAGAGUAAAUUAGUAAUUUAGUAAACUUUGACAUUUCCACUUUGUCUCCAAACACAUUUAAAUUCUAUCUGUCUGACUGAAGUUCUAAGGCAUUCUGUGGUUACUUAGAAAUGAUUCCUUAUAUUAAUGUUUACAAAUGCUAAAUUGUAUUUGUUAAAUACAUGUCUUAUUGCCUAAGAGUUUUCCUUUCUUAUAAGUUUAAUAUAAAUGUCUAGGAAAUAAGACUCCCAUUUAAUAGCUUAUAAAGAAUGCUGAUGUAUCAGCAGUGGCCUUGACAUUAUUGGAUACAAGUAAGAUCUACACUGAUGAUUAAAUCAAAUUGGCUAAGAUUAUUCGUUCUAAUAAAAGCACUGACUCCAUG
This 2181-nucleotide long non-coding RNA is filed under the name Homo sapiens (human). RNAcentral's name for it is "non-protein coding lnc-COL28A1-1:14". The record is from RNAcentral. Lineage: Eukaryota; Metazoa; Chordata; Mammalia; Primates; Hominidae.